RNAcentral lists this ribosomal RNA (255 nucleotides) under uncultured bacterium. Its description in RNAcentral is "partial 16S ribosomal RNA". It matches the Rfam family "Bacterial small subunit ribosomal RNA", at positions 524 to 776 of the family's 1533-position model. The record is from RNAcentral.
UACGAAGGGGGGCUAGCGUUGCUCGGAAUCACUGGGCGUAAAGGGUGCGUAGGCGGGUCUUUAAGUCAGGGGUGAAAUCCUGGAGCUCAACUCCAGAACUGCCUUUGAUACUGCGGAGCUUGAGUACAGAUGAGGUAGGCGGAAUUGACGGUGUAGCGGUGAAAUGCUUAGAUAUCGUCAAGAACACCUAUAGCGAAGGCAGCUUACUAGGCUGUAACUGACGCUGAGGCACGAAAGUGUGGGGGAUCAAACAGG